CGGCUAGGUCCCCAUCUUGCUAAGUUGGGACUGCAACUUGAUGGUUUCCCUGGACAUUAGCUGUCACAGCUUGGGAUAAUGCCUAAAAGACAGCUCUCUACAUGGGACACAUUCUAAUUCAAACGAUCUGCAGGCUGAGGUGGCUGGUUAUCAUUUCUACAUGCAUUAGCUCGAUGAGAAGGCAUAAUCAACUGUCACGUGAAAGUACGAGUUAUAAAAAGAUAGAGAUACUAUAAGAACGAUAUAUCAUCAAAGAAAGAGAUGAUAUCCAAAGAACGUUCCG
RNAcentral lists this long non-coding RNA (283 nucleotides) under Capsicum annuum. RNAcentral describes it as "long non-coding RNA (CANN_LNC011316)". Lineage: Eukaryota; Viridiplantae; Streptophyta; Magnoliopsida; Solanales; Solanaceae. The record is from RNAcentral.